GAUGAAGAACGCAGCGAAAUGCGAUAAGUAAUGUGAAUUGCAGAAUUCAGUGAAUCAUCGAAUCUUUGAACGCACCUUGCGCCCUUUGGCUAUUCUGAAGGGCAUGCCUGUUUGAGUAUCGUGAACACCUCAACUCUCAUGGUCUGCCAUGAUGAGCUUGGACUUUGGGGGUCUUGCUGGCCUACUGUCAGCUCCUCUCAAAUGAAUCAGCUUACCAGUGUUUGGUGGCACCACAGGUGUGAUAACUAUCUACGCUUGUGGUUUUCUGCCAGGUAACCUCUAGUGAUGGAGGUUCGCUGGAGCUCACAAAUGUCUCUCCUCAGCGAGGACAGCUUUUUGAACGUUUGAUCUCAAAUCAGGUAGGACUACCCGCUGAACUUAAGCAUAUCAAUAAGCGGAGGA
This 402-nucleotide unclassified non-coding RNA is filed under the name soil metagenome. Its description in RNAcentral is "partial contains 5.8S ribosomal RNA, internal transcribed spacer 2, and large subunit ribosomal RNA". The stretch from base 1 to 121 matches the Rfam family "5.8S ribosomal RNA", at positions 35 to 154 of the family's 154-position model. The record is from RNAcentral.